Molecule: non-coding RNA, 786 nt
Filed under: Phrynus sp. 1 SEM-2008
Lineage: Eukaryota; Metazoa; Arthropoda; Arachnida; Amblypygi; Phrynidae
Source: RNAcentral
GAAUAAGCAUAAACUGGGAGUUUUUAGGCUGGGAUAAUUUAAUUUUGGUUAUGAUUAAUUUACUGAAAAAAGUUUUGGGCAUAUGGGAGGGGAAAAUUAGAUAUGAAAUUUGCAGUGUUGGAUAAUUAGGGAGAUAGAGAGUUGUUUAUAAAAAGAGAUAAAGUCCAGGUUAAGAGCGUGCCAGCUACCGCGGUUAUACGUGUAAUGGGGCAGGUGAAUUGAGGAGAAGGGAGAUAAUUUGAGAGUGGGAGAUUUAAUAUGAGGUGAAAUUUAGUUAAAGAUGAGAAUCUCAGAUGAAAGAUUGAGGAGAAUUGAGAAAUGGGAAAAUUUAGGAUGAAGACUAGGAUUAGAUACCCUAUUAUUCUAAAUGAAAGGAGAGUAGUAGAAGGUGAUCUUGAAACUUAAAAUUUUUGGCGGUUUUGAAAGCAGUUUAGAGGAACCUGUCCUGUAAUUGAUGGUCCACAAUAUAUUUAGCUUUGAGAUAAGUAUUUAUACCGCCGUCGGAAAGGAAUUUUAUGAGAAAUUUUUGAGGAGUGGAAAGCUAGAAGGGAUGACAGGUCGAGGUGAAGCUAAUAUCAAAGGGUGAGAUGGGUUACAAUGGUGAAUUACUAUUAUGGAUAAGCUUAAGAAAUGAAAAUUUGAAGGUGGAUUUAAAUGUAAUUUAGAAUUAGGAUAUUUAUAUGAAUAAGUGCUCUUUAAAAUGUACAUAUCGCCCGUCACUCUUGUUGAGAAAUAAGAUAAGUCGUAACAGAGUGGGUGUAUUGGAAAAUGCAUCUGGAGUAAGAG